This 468-nucleotide ribosomal RNA is filed under the name uncultured bacterium. RNAcentral's name for it is "partial 16S ribosomal RNA". It matches the Rfam family "Bacterial small subunit ribosomal RNA", at positions 28 to 507 of the family's 1533-position model. The record is from RNAcentral.
GACGAACGCUGGCGGCGUGCUUAACACAUGCAAGUCGAACGGAAAGGCCCUGCUUUUGUGGUGUGCUCGAGUGGCGAACGGGUGAGUAACACGUGAGUAACCUGCCCUUGACUUUGGGAUAACUUCAGGAAACUGGGGCUAAUACCGGAUAGGAGCUCCUGCUGCAUGGUGGGGGUUGGAAAGUUUCGGCGGUUGGGGAUGGACUCGCGGCUUAUCAGCUUGUUGGUGGGGUAGUGGCUUACCAAGGCUUUGACGGGUAGCCGGCCUGAGAGGGUGACCGGCCACAUUGGGACUGAGAUACGGACCAGACUCCUACGGGAGGCAGCAGUGGGGAAUAUUGCACAAUGGGCGGAAGCCUGAUGCAGCAACGCCGCGUGCGGGAUGACGGCCUUCGGGUUGUAAACCGCUUUCGCCUGUGACGAAGCGUGAGUGACGGUAAUGGGUAAAGAAGCACCGGCUAACUACGUG